CCGUGCUAGACGGGGAGGUAGCGGUGCCCUGUACCUGCAACCCGCUAUAGCAGGGUUGAAUUCCUGCCCCCGGCUCUGGAUCUUGGGGUCUGACCCAGGUAAGUGGUGUCGACGACCGGGUCCUGUGCGGCGUAAGCUUGUGAACCCCGUCAGGUCCGGAAGGAAGCAGCGGUAAGCAAGUCCUUGCGGGUGCCACGGGAUAGCCUGGUCUGAGCUAACUGCCGGGGUAACGCCUGGGAGAAAGAGUCAAAGGCAGGUGCGCGG
RNAcentral lists this signal recognition particle RNA (264 nucleotides) under Dethiobacter alkaliphilus. RNAcentral's name for it is "signal recognition particle sRNA large type". It matches the Rfam family "Bacterial large signal recognition particle RNA". From Rfam's summary of the family: The signal recognition particle (SRP) is a universally conserved ribonucleoprotein involved in the co-translational targeting of proteins to membranes. Archaeal SRP consists of a 7S RNA and homologues of the eukaryotic SRP19 and SRP54 proteins. In most bacteria, the SRP consists of a 4.5S RNA and the Ffh protein (a homologue of the eukaryotic SRP54 protein). The record is from RNAcentral. RNAcentral also lists the same sequence under 1 other name. Lineage: Bacteria; Bacillati; Bacillota; Dethiobacteria; Dethiobacterales; Dethiobacteraceae.